CUGAAGACAUCAUUCUGUAAUACUCGUGCAGUAAGAGUCGUUCAAGAAAAUUCAUCAUAAAACAUUUAUACAUAUAACACCGACUUAUUAUAAAGAGUACUAACAAGGUAUUCGUGCGUAUCUAACCUUAACGCGUAAGCAGGAAAAAUCCUGACGAUUAUAUGAAGGGAGAGAGAGAGAGAGAGAGACAGAGAGAAAGGGAGAGUGUGAGAACGUGUUGGUAGAAUACAUCGGAGUGACGUACGAAACAUAAGGGCAAGGGAGACGGGGAGAGUCUUCAGAGCGCGAACACGUCGAGGGAACUCGCAGAACGGUCGUGCUCGUGACUUCACUCGAACCCGCCAUUUUUCAUCACACGGCGUAGCUGCAUCAUCAUUUUCUGAUACGAAGCGUAUACCGACCUAUCGCACCGACCGGCACCUCCUCCGGCGACUGAUCCGCGGAAACGCAGUCAUUCUCCUCUCAAAUCUAUCGCGACGAUAACGAGAAAGCACACUCAAGCUCUGAUAUUGUAAACGAUAUAUCAAGAUUGAGAUUUACAUUUCGUUCAAUUAAUAACUCAU
Molecule: long non-coding RNA, 563 nt
Organism: Mycetomoellerius zeteki
Lineage: Eukaryota; Metazoa; Arthropoda; Insecta; Hymenoptera; Formicidae
Exons: 3
Source: RefSeq, a predicted model, not a curated record